AUGGCGAGGCACUUCACGCUCAACACCGGCGCUGAGAUCCCCUCGGUGGGGUACGGCACCUGGCAGUCCAAGCCGGAUGAGGUCGGCCGCUCCGUUUACGCUGCCGUCAUGGCAGGGUAUCGACACAUCGAUUGUGCUAGGGCUUACCGCAACGAAAAGGAGGUUGGUUUGGCACUGCAAAAGCUAUUCGAAGAGGGUGUGGUGAAACGGGAAGAUUUGUUUAUCACCUCUAAGCUAUGGCAUGAUCAUCAUGCUCCAGAAGAUGUGCCGGAGUCGCUUGACAGAAGUCUGCAUGACUUGCAGCUUGAGUACUUGGAUCUUUACCUUAUCCAUUGGCCAUUUAGGCUCAAGAAGGGCACCAACGCAAGCAACCCUGAAAACUUUGUACUACCUGACAUCCCUGCGACUUGGGGAGCAAUGGAAAAGUUAUAUGAUGCUGGAAAAGCUCGUGCAAUAGGUGUGAGUAACUUCUCAACAAAGAAAUUGGGUGACUUGCUUGUUGUAGCUCGUGUACGUCCUGCUGUUAAUCAGGUGGAAUGUCAUCCGGGUUGGCAGCAAAGUAAGCUCCACAACUUUUGUCAGUCAACCGGUAUUCAUCUUUCUGCAUACUCACCACUAGGUUCACCUGGUACACCUUGGAUGAACAGUAAUGUCCUCGAAGAACCUGUCAUCACCUUAAUAGCGAAUAAACUUGGGAAAACUCCUGCACAGGUGGCCCUGUGCUGGAACAUUCAGAUGGGUCAUAGUGUACUACCAAAGAGCCUGAAUGAGGAAAGGAUAAAGCAAAAUCUUGAUGUUUAUGAUUGGUCUAUUCCAGAUGACUUGCUUGCGAUGUUAACCGACAUUAAGCAGGUAAGGCAGUUCAGAGGUGACUUCACCGUUAAUCCACAAAGCGUCUACAAGACCCACGAGGAGCUCUGGGAUGGGGAAGUUUAG
This 936-nucleotide ribosomal RNA is filed under the name Triticum aestivum (bread wheat). RNAcentral describes it as "partial small subunit ribosomal RNA". The record is from RNAcentral. Lineage: Eukaryota; Viridiplantae; Streptophyta; Magnoliopsida; Poales; Poaceae.